UGUUUUUUCCUGGGUGAAGCUUGGUGUUCAGAUGCCCUGGUUAGAUUGUCUGCUGUGAUGACAUCAGGAGGUUGCCUAGUUACCGUCUGAAGCGGCCGGGCGCACAGGAAGUGCGUAACGCUGAUGGGUGUCGUCAGAGGACCCGACGCCGAGGACGAUGGCGGGGACACACGAGGUGUGUUACAACAGUUCCUUGCAGUGAAAUUCUCACCAACGUACAUUCACUCUGAAGAUCAUGUACAGUACAAACGUCAUACCUGAUGAAGGCACGUGGGAAGCACUCUGACAUUAUCUGUCUGUUCAAGCCCUUCUUGGAUGAGAGAAAAGAGAGAGUCUCGAAGUUGCUUUUGAUUCCUGUGUUCAAGGCUGGGAUUUGACCCAGGCGUGGCCAGAUCAGGAGCAGCAUCUGCGCACUUCUGGUCAUCUGAAACAGAUACAUCGGCUGAAAGCUCCACAUAGAAAGUGUCGGACCUGCUGCAAAGUUCACCAUAAAGAGGUGCACUAUCAACUAGAAAGAGUGAAGCACAAUACAUGUACACUGAAGGAUGUCAAAUUAUACAGAAUAAAAUAGCUUAUCUGUG
Molecule: long non-coding RNA, 581 nt
Organism: Pseudophryne corroboree (corroboree frog)
Lineage: Eukaryota; Metazoa; Chordata; Amphibia; Anura; Myobatrachidae
Exons: 3
Source: RefSeq, a predicted model, not a curated record